Molecule: non-coding RNA, 203 nt
Filed under: Lupinus angustifolius (narrow-leaved blue lupine)
Lineage: Eukaryota; Viridiplantae; Streptophyta; Magnoliopsida; Fabales; Fabaceae
Description: Eukaryotic large subunit ribosomal RNA
Rfam family: Eukaryotic large subunit ribosomal RNA
Source: Rfam by way of RNAcentral
GGGUUACGGUGCCCAACUACGCGCUAACCUAGACCCCACAAAGGGUGUUGGUCGAUUAAGACAACAGGACGGUGGUCAUGGAAGUCGAAAUCUGCUAAGGAGUGUGUAACAACUCACCUGCCGAAUCAACUAGCCCCGAAAAUGGAUGGCGCUAAAGCGCACGACCUAUACCAGACCGUCGGGGCAAGGGACAGGCCCCGAUG